AUGCUUCCCUCCUGCAAACCUGCUCACCAGCAGAACUUUCAAAGAAACCUCUUUCUGCUCCACAGUUCCAAGCCAGACAUUCAGCGUCGCCAAACGAGCCCAAAGCUUCAAGACCCUGUAGAGAUCGUCACAGAUAUGACAAUAUCUGCAAGUUGGAACCUCACUGUGGGCAAUACUGCAGUGAUAAACUGCACCGUGCACAAACCAGGAAACGGCCACAAUGUGACUUUGCAGCUGAUGCGGACAAAACUGGGCCUAGAGGAAAAGUUUAAGGUGCUGGUGAGCCAACCAGCUUCAAGAGGGAUCUCAUAUGUACUGGGUCCCAUUACUCAUGAGCACCUGGGAGAGUCUGUAGCUGUGUGGAAGGUGGCAGCGCGCCUAAUGCUGACGUUACGGAUCGGCACCAUUUAAUCUGGGUUACUGGUUAGCAAUGAUUUUAAUUACUAUUGUAGCCCAGACCAUUUUGUUCACAAAUUUUGGCUGGUACAGAUUUGAACAAUUUUUACUUUAACAGUUAUUCACACAAAACAGUCUGAAGGAGUUACUCAAACUAAAAGUGUAAAAGGAAAAACUGAAUAAUUUGGCCCAGUUUCCCUUGUCUCAUUAAGUUGACAGCAUCUGUAACAGUAUUUUCUGAAGUCUGAAACCGGCCGUGUCUAGGCUUACAUUAUAUAGCUGUCCAAUGACACACACUGAGUACUGUCUGUAGGUGGUGUUCUGUUAAUCCCCUACUAGAACUGUGUGAAACUAAAGUUUCCAUCUCCUAUUUUCAAUACACUAACUUUUGCUUACAUGAGCAGACUUACUUACCACAGUGCGGUAAUUGUCAAACUUAUCUUCAUGACAGACUCGUCUCCAGCAGUCACAAUAAACUUGCUCAGCAUCAACAGGGUCAACUUCUUCGGUGAAAAGACUAUCACUGUUGGGUGCCAGCUGCCUAACAAAGUCAGUGGAAGAUGAUGAGGUUGGUAAUUCUUUUAUUGUCAUAUUUCCUGUAUCUAGUUUGGACUGAUAAAAUAAAAAGCAGACAGAAAACACCAUCAGUACAAGGUGGCAGCUGAAGCUUGGGUGGUAGGUUCAGUUGCCAAGAUGCAAAAUCCCAAAAUCACUCUUAAAACAAGAAGUCUGCUUGGAAAAGACUUGGUUAUCCAAAAACUUCCAAUGAAAUCUGAAGAAAAGAAAUGUAGAGUGAAAGUCGGAUGAACUAAAUACUUCACCUUACUUUUAUUAUUCCAGCUUUGACAUGGAUACAGGGACUAUCAGAGUGUGCGGAUCCACAGACUUCAGGCUGCCUCCUGUCUUGCACCAUUAAAACAGAAAUGACUCAUUAGA
RNAcentral lists this long non-coding RNA (1332 nucleotides) under Oreochromis niloticus (Nile tilapia). RNAcentral's name for it is "lncRNA (ENSONIG00000035117.1)". The record is from RNAcentral. Lineage: Eukaryota; Metazoa; Chordata; Actinopteri; Cichliformes; Cichlidae.